CGGCGCACGGGUGAGUAACACGUAUGCAACCUGGCCGUGACAGAUGGAUAACCGGGAGAAAUCCCGCCUAAUACAACAUAAUGCCGGGAGGGGACAUCCCCUGCCGGUCAAAGGGGGCGACCCCGGUCAUGGAUGGGCAUGCGGCGCAUUAGGUAGUUGGUGGGGCAACGGCCCACCAAGCCGACGAUGCGUAGGGGUUCUGAGAGGAAGGUCCCCCACAUUGGAACUGAGACACGGUCCAAACUCCUACGGAAGGCAGCAG
RNAcentral lists this ribosomal RNA (262 nucleotides) under uncultured bacterium. RNAcentral describes it as "partial 16S ribosomal RNA". It matches the Rfam family "Bacterial small subunit ribosomal RNA", at positions 96 to 354 of the family's 1533-position model. The record is from RNAcentral.